AUCCAGCUGACGAGUACCAAAUAGGACGAAACGUGCGUCCUGGAU
This is a non-coding RNA of Schistosoma rodhaini, 45 nucleotides long. The record is from Rfam. Lineage: Eukaryota; Metazoa; Platyhelminthes; Trematoda; Strigeidida; Schistosomatidae.